UACAGAGGUCUCAAGCGUUGUUCGGAUUCACUGGGCGUAAAGGGUGCGUAGGCGGAUUGUUAAGUCAGGGGUGAAAUCCCGGAGCUCAACUCCGGAACUGCCUUUGAUACUAUUGGUCUUGAAUGUUGUUGAGGUGGGCGGAACGGGUCAUGUAGCGGUGAAAUGCAUAGAUAUGACCCGGAACACCGAUUGCGAAGGCAGCCCGCUAAGCAACUAUUGACGCUGAGGCACGAAAGCGUGGGGGAUCAAACAGG
Molecule: ribosomal RNA, 254 nt
Filed under: uncultured bacterium
Lineage: Bacteria
Description: partial 16S ribosomal RNA
Rfam family: Bacterial small subunit ribosomal RNA
Source: RNAcentral